Molecule: ribosomal RNA, 484 nt
Filed under: uncultured bacterium
Lineage: Bacteria
Description: partial 16S ribosomal RNA
Rfam family: Bacterial small subunit ribosomal RNA
Source: RNAcentral
AUUGAACGCUGGCGGCAGGCCUAACACAUGCAAGUCGAGCGGAUGAAGGGAGCUUGCUCCUGGAUUCAGCGGCGGACGGGUGAGUAAUGCCUAGGAAUCUUCCUGGUAGUGGGGGAUAACGUCCGGAAACGGGCGCUAAUACCGCAUACUUCCUGAGGGAGAAAGUGGGGGAUCUUCGGACCUCACGCUAUCAGAUGAGCCUAGGUCGGAUUCGCUAGUUGGUGGGGUAAAGGCCUACCAAGGCGACGAUCCGUAACUGGUCUGAGAGGAUGAUCAGUCACACUGGAACUGAGACACGGUCCAGACUCCUACGGGAGGCAGCAGUGGGGAAUAUUGGACAAUGGGCGAAAGCCUGAUCCAGCCAAGCCGCGUGUGUGAAGAAGGUCUUCGGAUUGUAAAGCACUUUAAGUUGGGAGGAAGGGCAGUAAGUUAAUACCUUGCUGUUUUGACGUUACCAACAGAAUAAGCACCGGCUAACUUCGUG